This 939-nucleotide ribosomal RNA is filed under the name Dendrothereua sp. MCZ DNA106729. RNAcentral's name for it is "partial 28S ribosomal RNA". It matches the Rfam family "Eukaryotic large subunit ribosomal RNA", at positions 69 to 594 of the family's 3401-position model. Lineage: Eukaryota; Metazoa; Arthropoda; Chilopoda; Scutigeromorpha; Scutigeridae. The record is from RNAcentral.
CAAGGAUUCCCCAGUAACGGCGAGUGAACAGGGAAGAGCCCAGCGCCGAAGCCUCCGUCCCGAGCGGGCGGUAGGCAAUGUGGCGUUCGGGAGAAACCUCUCCUUCCGGAAGCUGUCUGGGAGCCCAGGUCCCCCUGACCGGGGCCAUCGCCCGUUGAGGGUGCAAGGCCCGUGUGGCUCUCGGCGUCCGGAGGACGGUUUUAUUUCUCCCGGGAGUCGGGUUGCUUGGGAGUGCAGCCCUAAGAGGGUGGUAAACUCCAUCUAAGGCUAAAUACUUCCACGAGACCGAUAGCAAACAAGUACCGUGAGGGAAAGUUGCAAAGAACUUUGAAGAGAGAGUUCAAGAGUACGUGAAACCGCUCGUAGGUAAACGGGUGGGCCCUCGAAGGCAAGCAGGAGGGGAUUCAACCCGUUGGCAGUCGACCGUGCACUGCGGUUUUUCUCGAAACGGAUCCGAGAGACCGGCCCGUUGGUGCCGCGGUCGUCAGCGGGCGCACUUCCCCUUCUCGCGUCCCGUCUCCCCUGUGAGGCGGGACCGAACGCCGCGACCGGUCGGGAGAUACGACGGCGGCCAAGCGGCGAGACUGGGCAGGUAUCCUACUCGUCCUUUCUGUCCGUGAAGCCCACUCUCGGGUGGGUGGGCAGGAUGGCUUGUAGGAGAGUUUUCAGCCCGUCUCGACCCGGCUCCGCCGCCCGACCGUGGUCUAGAACCGAGGUUCGACAACCGCGCAUGCGCUGUUUCGACGCUCGAGCCCGUCCCGCACGUAGGGUUUUUCUGGCCGCCGAUAGACCCCUCCCCCCCGCUCUUGGCGGUUACAUGAAGCGGUCCCCCUGCGUCGCGUCUUGAUUGAAAAGGACGUGUGCUCUCGAACGAUAGGAUUUUUUUUUUUUAAUUUUUUAAAAAAAGAGUCCUACGGUGCGCUUGUGGUCGGCGGCGAG